GCGGGGGUAGCCAAGCCAGGUCAAAGGCGCGAGGCUCAGAACCUCGUGGCAUAGGCCUUCGUGGGUUCAAAUCCCACCCCCCGCA
RNAcentral lists this transfer RNA (85 nucleotides) under Candidatus Bathyarchaeota archaeon. Its description in RNAcentral is "tRNA-Leu". It matches the Rfam family "tRNA". Rfam says of the family: Transfer RNA (tRNA) molecules are approximately 80 nucleotides in length. RNAcentral also lists the same sequence under 2 other names. The record is from RNAcentral. Lineage: Archaea; Thermoproteati; Candidatus Bathyarchaeota.